GCAGUGGUGCUUCAGUGGUAGAACUUUCCCCUUCUGUAUGGGAAGCCCAGGUUCCAUUCCUGGCCAAUGCC
RNAcentral lists this transfer RNA (71 nucleotides) under Loxodonta africana (African savanna elephant). It matches the Rfam family "tRNA". Rfam says of the family: Transfer RNA (tRNA) molecules are approximately 80 nucleotides in length. Lineage: Eukaryota; Metazoa; Chordata; Mammalia; Proboscidea; Elephantidae. The record is from Rfam by way of RNAcentral.